Molecule: RNA transcript, 2394 nt
Organism: Xenopus laevis (African clawed frog)
Lineage: Eukaryota; Metazoa; Chordata; Amphibia; Anura; Pipidae
Gene: ttyh3.S
Gene name: tweety family member 3 S homeolog
Exons: 15
Source: RefSeq, marked provisional
AGGACCGGGCUCGUACAGGAGAGGAGGAGCUAAGGUACAUCGAGUCUCAGUCGAACAAAGAGCCGGAGCUCGGUUGCAGUGCCAGGGACUGGCUGAUCAGGGGGAGUCCCAGUGGCAGCUCCGGUUACAGAGCUUUGCUGCUUGUUAUGAGCAGGGGGCGGUGUAGGAGCUCGGAGCUCUCAGGUUAGUGGCAAUGGAGGAAGGGAAAAGAGUGUGAGACAGCUGCCCCCCUCCUUCCAUCUUCGGGUACCCCAUGGCUGGCAGGCCCCGGCUCUGAGUCGUUCUGCUUCCUACCGAUAUGGCCGCUGCCAUCAGCUACACCCCACCGUGGUGGGUCAACCUGCUGCACCGGCUCCCCCACCUCAACCUACAGUGGGAGAGUCUCAAUGGGGAUUUCCGCCCAGAGGACCCUGACUACCAGCAGUCCUUGAUGCUUCUGGCUUGUGUCGCUCUCUCCUGCCUGGCUCUUGACCUUCUCUUCCUGCUCUUCUACUCCUUCUGGUUCUGCUGCCGUCACCGGAAAACAGAAGAGAACACAAAUGCGGAUUGUUGCUGUACCGUUUGGUGUGUCAUCGUUGCUACUCUUGUCUGCAGUGCUGGAAUUGCUGUCGGUUUCUAUGGCAAUGGGGAGACCAGUGAUGGUAUUCAUCGGGUGACAUAUUCAAUAAGACAUGUGAACCGCACUAUGGCAGGAAUCCAUGAUCGGGUGUCUGACACAACUACAUCUCUCAACCAAACUGUGGAGCCAUGUCUGCAAAACCUGGAAGUCAUGUUUACAAAACAGACUGAUUACCUCCGCAUUGUGCAGCGACUUCAGAGCCUACUCUAUACCCUGGUUCAGCAAACCUCAGAAAUCCCCUUCUGGAAGAAUCAUUACUUGCUGGAUGAAUUUGCCGCACAGGUGGAUCUCUUUGACUGGUACAGGUGGCUGGGGUACCUGGGCCUGCUUCUGUUCCAUGUCUUCAUUUGUUUGCUGGUGCUAUUUGGGCUGAUCCGAAACUCAAAGGGUACUCUGAUAUGUGUGUGUUUCCUUGGAAUGAUGGCUCUCAUUAUAAGCUGGGCAUCCAUGGGCCUGGAGCUGGCAGUUGCUGUGGGCUCCAGUGACUUCUGUGUGAAUCCUGACACAUUCGUCUCCAAAAUGGUAGAAGAGAAAUCUGUGCUCCGAGCAGACAUCCUGAACUACUAUCUUGUCUGUAACACUGGAUCCCCUAAUCCCUUCCAGCAGAUGUUGUCAAGCGGUCACAAAGCCCUGGUGGAAAUGCAGGAUGAUGUCAGGGACCUCUUAAGAUCUGCGGUGAAAGAAUACCCAAACUCCAAGGAUUAUCUUGUCUGCAUACAAGGAGUACUGAAUUCUACAGAGAUCAACCUGCAGCAUUUGACAGCCUUGGUAGAUUGCCGUGGUUUACACUUGGAUUAUGUCCAGUCCCUCACUGGAUUUUGCUACGAUGGAGUAGAAGGGCUAAUUUACCUGGUUCUCUUCUCGUUUGUCACUGCCCUGAUGUUCAGCUCUAUUGUAUGCAGCGUACCUCACACCUGGCAGCAAAGGAGGGCCAACUAUGAAGAAGGCGAUGAAGAGACAACCACCCCAGGGACCCGCCAGACUCAUGAUAAUUUGUAUAGGGUGCACAUGCCCAGUUUGUACAGCUGUGGGAGCAGCUAUGGCAGCGAGACGAGUAUCCCAGCAGCCGCACAUACAGUUAGCAAUGCUCCAGUGACAGAGUACAUGAGUCAGAAUGCAAAUUUCCAGAAUCCACGUUGUGAAAACACCCCUCUGAUUGGAAGAGAGUCCCCUCCUCCCUCUUACACCUCCAGCAUGAGAGCAAAAUACCUCGCUACCAACCGUCCUGAAACCGACCCGGUGCACUAAGUGCAAGUCACAAGAUUCUCCUGAAUGCCACUAACCAGAGCAACUACUGUGGAUCAGUGUCCCCCUGGCCAAAACUCAGAGAACAUGGAGGAUUCCUAUUGGAUCCCUGAUCUUGGGCAGUAGAAGCUGCAAGAGUACGGCCAUGUUUCCCAGAAAGUGCUUCAUUAAUGAAGAAUUAAUCGCCUUUCACUAAUCCCAUGGAAGAAUGAAUCCGCUCCUCUUGUGCUUACGUCUAUGAAUCCUUUCUUUCUCGCAUCUUGACAUCUAGCCGUGUUCUUGAUCACAAACGAGUCCCUCUUUGGGAGUAAAGAUUCAAUUAGUUGCAAAGAUGAAUCUGACGGAUGAACCCCCUGUUUUCGUAUUUGCUACCAUCCUCUGCCCUAUUGUAAUCUCUUCUGUUAGACACAGGAGGACUCAUGGUUAUUUUUUACUGUGCUUUGUUUUGCAAAAAAUGUAAAUCAUAAAUGUGUUCUGUGGUUUCCAUACAGCUUGGUAUCAUGUUUUUAAAUAAAUCCAAAAAUGGAGAA